Molecule: long non-coding RNA, 404 nt
Organism: Columba livia (rock pigeon)
Lineage: Eukaryota; Metazoa; Chordata; Aves; Columbiformes; Columbidae
Exons: 3
Source: RefSeq, a predicted model, not a curated record
GACACGCCCCCCGCUUGGCCACGCCCCCGCGGCAGUCUCGGUGCCGCCGCCAUGGCGGAGCUGCCGGUUCGGGCCCCGCGGGCCGCUGCUGCCGCUGCUCCCGGUUCUUUUGGGGGUGUUGCUGCCCCCUGCGGGCUCCCGAGGGCCGCCCGGGCCUGAGCAGCUGCUGGUGCUGACGGUGGCGACCGAGGCGACCGACGGGUACGAGCGGUUCCUGCGCUCGGCAAAGCGCUUCAACUACAGCGUGCAGACGCUGGGGCUGGGCCAGGCCUGGCGGGGGGGGGACGUGGCGCACACGGUCGGGGGGGGACAGAAGGUUCGGUGGCUCAAGAGCGCGAUGUCCCCACUGAGGACACGGCAGGACCUGCUGGUGCUGUUUGUGGACAGGUGACGGGGACAGGGGA